RNAcentral lists this long non-coding RNA (748 nucleotides) under Rosa chinensis. Its description in RNAcentral is "sRNA RchiOBHm_Chr6g0255271". The record is from RNAcentral. Lineage: Eukaryota; Viridiplantae; Streptophyta; Magnoliopsida; Rosales; Rosaceae.
AUGAGGGAUUUGAAAAAUCCUUUUCUGCAAAUAUGGUUAGUUGAAGUGGCUACUGUGGUAUUGGCAUUGGUAUUGUAGAAAUUGGCAUAAUAUGGUCCUCUUUGUUUAUUGGAUCGAUUCUUUACUUCGAGUGGCUUGGUUGCAGUUUAUAAUUGUUAUCCUCUUUUAAAUGUAUAGUUUUGGUGUUUAAUUAAUUGUAAUUAAAUGUAUGCUUGGUUAAUGUAUUUGACAAUAUAUGUUAAAGUGUUAGCACUUGGAAGCAAUGAAAGAAAGAGUGAGUUAGUUGUUUAUUUAAAGUGUUGUUUUUGUAGCAUUGCAGAUUAUAGCAUAGAGAGAGCUUGAACAACAACUUCAAUUUCAGCUAUUACUUUGGAAGGAAGCAGUGAAUCAGCAACAUCAUCCACAAAGACUAUGAACAAGGAAAAAAUGGAGUGAAAUAUCAUGUCACUUUUUGUGUAAAUAGAAAUGGAGGCAACAACUUUUUGGACAACCUCCACAGCUAAUCAUCACUAGGCUAACAAGCUCUCAGUAACUGAUGUCACUUUUGAUAUAGUCACUAGGUUAGCCUAUAAGUAGAUCACUGUAUUUUGGGGAAGCUGUUUUGACAGCAUUUGUAAUAUAUAUUUCAACAUUACCAGAACACCUAUGUUAAUGGUAAUGUUAGCUCCUGAUAUGAAGCAUUAGUCAAUGUAUUUUGGAGUAGCUGUUUUAACAGUAAUUGUUUUAUAUAUAUGAACUAAAUUCUCUG